UCUAUUUACAUUUCGAUGAGCUUGGUGAAGUAGAAGACGACGAAAAAUAACGGCAAGAAGAAUCCAGAAGAUGACACUCUGUAGUCCAGUUAGCGAAAGCGAAAGUUUCCGGUAGAUCAUGAUAUUUUCGACAACAAACUUUCUAGAAAUUCGGCUUAAGUUUAGCGAGAUCAAAGGUGUUUUCUUCGCACUGCAGCAGAUCAGAGAGAAAGCUGAACAAGAUGGCCUGAAUAAGAAGGAGGAAAUGAUUUCUAGGAGGAGUAUGGGAGGCUAUAAAAAGAAUACCAAGAUUUAGUGCUGACUUGAGUCGUUAGCCCUAAGAUUUUGGUAAAGAGGUGGCAAACAAGCGCUCAUUACCACCAUUCUCCAUCAUUUCGAGGGUUUGGAGAUCCAGGAUGUUUUAUAUCAAGUGAAAAAGCCCCAUGUCUUGUUAUGGAGUGGGAGUUGUUUUGCUUUGAUUCUCUCUAAGGAUCCUUCCAAUGCGGAAAAGAACAUCAAUGUUAGUUAUAACGAAGUAGCUAAACAUAUA
Beta vulgaris subsp. vulgaris (sugar beet) is the source of this 529-nucleotide long non-coding RNA. RefSeq lists it as uncharacterized. NCBI's taxonomy places the organism in Eukaryota, Viridiplantae, Streptophyta, Magnoliopsida, Caryophyllales, Amaranthaceae. The record is from RefSeq and is a predicted model, not a curated record. The transcript is spliced from 3 exons.